RNAcentral lists this ribosomal RNA (265 nucleotides) under uncultured bacterium. RNAcentral describes it as "partial 16S ribosomal RNA". It matches the Rfam family "Bacterial small subunit ribosomal RNA", at positions 88 to 354 of the family's 1533-position model. The record is from RNAcentral.
CCGGCGACCGGCGCACGGGUGAGUAACACGUAUGCAACCUGCCCUCUUCAGGGGGACAACCUUCCGAAAGGGAGGCUAAUCCCGCGUAUAUCGGUUUCGGGCAUCCGAGAUCGAGGAAAGAUUCAUCGGAAGAGGAUGGGCAUGCGGCGCAUUAGCUAGACGGCGGGGUAACGGCCCACCGUGGCGACGAUGCGUAGGGGUUCUGAGAGGAAGGUUCCCCACACUGGUACUGAGACACGGACCAGACUCCUACGGAAGGCAGCAG